CCUCUUCCUAUCUGUGCCUAACUCGACGAACUGUCCCUGACGUCCUCCGCAUUCGCCUCCGGUGGGGGCGUCUAGCUGCUAUGGUAUCGACGAAUGGGCCGAGUAGCAGUCUCGGAGGGAGGACCUCUCAGGGUGGCGAUCGGCGCAGUGUGGAAACAGUUGGACUCAGUCGUCGGGAGACCCGUUCCAUGCUUGGUCUCAACAACCGGACGUCCCGCACGGGACGCCCGAGGACGUGUUCCCCAGGGUCAAACUACACAAGCUGAGCUGCUCCAUCAACUUUACCGUCCAAGUGGAGCACCGCUCUUCCUCUCCCUGGCACCACCUGCUGGACAACUGUGGAACGUGCGACGUGCGCUGCAGACAAGGCGAGACGCUGUGAUUCCUGUGUAGCUGAUGCUGAUACGCAUCGCAGGCUGCCACGAGCUGAGAUGAUGUGGCUGCUAUGCAGCCUGCUUCUCACUCCCAGUGCUGAGCCGGAGGUU
This is a long non-coding RNA of Osmerus eperlanus (European smelt), 485 nucleotides long. RefSeq lists it as uncharacterized. The transcript has 3 exons. The record is from RefSeq and is a predicted model, not a curated record. Lineage: Eukaryota; Metazoa; Chordata; Actinopteri; Osmeriformes; Osmeridae.